UACGGAGGGGGUUAGCGUUGUUCGGAAUUACUGGGCGUAAAGCGCGCGUAGGCGGCUUAGAAAGUUAGGGGUGAAAUCCUGGAGCUCAACUCCAGAACUGCCUUUGAUACCGCAGAGCUUGAGUUCGGGAGAGGUGAGUGGAACUGCGAGUGUAGAGGUGAAAUUCGUAGAUAUUCGCAAGAACACCAGUGGCGAAGGCGGCUCACUGGCCCGAUACUGACGCUGAGGUGCGAAAGCGUGGGGAGCAAACAGG
This 253-nucleotide ribosomal RNA is filed under the name uncultured bacterium. RNAcentral describes it as "partial 16S ribosomal RNA". It matches the Rfam family "Bacterial small subunit ribosomal RNA", at positions 524 to 776 of the family's 1533-position model. The record is from RNAcentral.